AACGAACGCUGGCGGCAUGCCUAACACAUGCAAGUCGAACGAAGCCUUCGGGCUUAGUGGCGCACGGGUGCGUAACGCGUGGGAAUCUGCCCCUUGCUUCGGAAUAACAGUUAGAAAUGACUGCUAAUACCGGAUGAAGUCUUCGGACCAAAGAUUUAUCGGCAAGGGAUGAGCCCGCGUAGGAUUAGGUAGUUGGUGGGGUAAAGGCCUACCAAGCCGACGAUCCUUAGCUGGUCUGAGAGGAUGAUCAGCCACACUGGGACUGAGACACGGCCCAGACUCCUACGGGAGGCAGCAGUGGGGAAUAUUGGACACUGGACGCAAGUCUGAUCCAGCAAUGCCGCGUGAGUGAUGAAGGCCUUAGUGUUGUAAAGCUCUUUUACCCGGGAUGAUAAUGACAGUACCUGGAGAAUAAGCUCCGGCUAACUACGUG
This 433-nucleotide ribosomal RNA is filed under the name uncultured bacterium. RNAcentral's name for it is "partial 16S ribosomal RNA". It matches the Rfam family "Bacterial small subunit ribosomal RNA", at positions 29 to 507 of the family's 1533-position model. The record is from RNAcentral.